RNAcentral lists this transfer RNA (54 nucleotides) under Dipodomys ordii (Ord's kangaroo rat). Lineage: Eukaryota; Metazoa; Chordata; Mammalia; Rodentia; Heteromyidae. The record is from Rfam by way of RNAcentral.
GGGUAAGUAGCUCUAUGGUAGAGCAUGUGCUUAGCAAGUACAAAGCCUUGCCUU